UCUAAACGGGCCAUGUUUUUCUGCAAUUGAUGGCUGCACUAUUGGCAAUUAAUUGUCCGGCCAUCACAAAAAUGUUUUAAUGCAGAUGAUGGCCGAGCAAUCUAUGGCCGGGCCAUGUGUUGCAAUAUGUCAGCAAUAGUAUGGCCCAUGAUGCAGACUCCUAAACGGGCCACACAUACCGGCAACAAUGGCUGAUGAGAUCACACUUGUCGCAGCAGCUUAUAUUAAUUUUAAAAGAACAGAAAAAGAAGAGAUUGAGGAUUCGACCUUAUUUAAAUAGGCGUGAAACUGUAGACAAUUUGAGUCUAGCAGUAAUAAGCCUUGAUAAUAAAUUAUUCAAGAACUUGGCUAGAAUUUCAAAAGGCGACUUUGACUUUCUCUUAAACAAAAUUGGACCAAAAAUAAAAAGAAAUGAUACAAACAUGAGAACAGCAAUACCUGUUUCAUCGCCAUCACGAGUUUUGCGAUAACUCUACGGUUUUUGGCAACAUGAGAUUCAUUUAAAAGUUUUAUGUACCUGUUCCGUGUUAGAUGUUAGAUUUCAAGUAGAGUGUUAGAUUUCAACUUUUAUACAAGAGGUGUGUACAGCUAUUAUAGAAGGAUUAAAAUAAUACAUCAAGAUGCCGUCAGGAGUAACAGAAUGGAAACAAGUUGCAAAAGAUUUCGAGGGAAGAAGUUCAAUUUAUCAAUCGAUAUGAUACAUACGUAAUACAGAGAUAUGUACAUUUAUAAUGACUAAAAUAUUUUAUUAAAGAUACUUACGUUAGAA
Pieris rapae (cabbage white) is the source of this 769-nucleotide long non-coding RNA. RefSeq lists it as uncharacterized. The transcript is spliced from 2 exons. NCBI's taxonomy places the organism in Eukaryota, Metazoa, Arthropoda, Insecta, Lepidoptera, Pieridae. The record is from RefSeq and is a predicted model, not a curated record.